GUAGGUGGCAAGCGUUGUCCGGAAUUAUUGGGCGUAAAGCGCGCGCAGGGGCGGUCCUUUAAGUCUGAUGUGAAAGCCACGGCUCAACCGUGGAGGGUCAUUGGAAACUGGGGGACUUGAGUACAGAAGAGGAAAGCGGAAUUCCAAGUGUAGCGGUGAAAUGCGUAGAGAUUUGGAGGAACACCAGUGGCGAAGGCGGCUUUCUGGUCUGUAACUGACGCUGAGGCGCGAAAGCGUGGGGAGCAAACAGGAUUAGAUACCCUGGUAGUCCACGCCGUAAACGAUGAGUGCUAAGUGUUAGGGGGUUUCCGCCCCUUAGUGCUGCAGCUAACGCAUUAAGCACUCCGCCUGGGGAGUACGGCCGCAAGGCUG
Molecule: ribosomal RNA, 372 nt
Filed under: uncultured organism
Description: partial 16S ribosomal RNA
Rfam family: Bacterial small subunit ribosomal RNA
Source: RNAcentral